This 12810-nucleotide long non-coding RNA is filed under the name Olea europaea (common olive). RNAcentral describes it as "long non-coding RNA (OEUR_LNC006363)". Lineage: Eukaryota; Viridiplantae; Streptophyta; Magnoliopsida; Lamiales; Oleaceae. The record is from RNAcentral.
UAGUCCUUUGACCCUGAGGCCUUUGUCUUCAGCACCACGAAUCAAAUGAACACAGAUUGUAAACAAAAACAAGUGAACAGAGUAUCAAAUUAGACAAUUACAAAGAUCAUUAUAAUCAGAAACUAUAUAAAAACUAAAAUUAAACAUGUCCCUAAGGAUGGAAAUCAUUUUCCUACUAUACUUUCCAAUAACUAUGAAAAUUGCUGGUGAUUAAAUUGGAAUAAAAAUCCAGGGCUCCAUGAAGGACCACCUACUAUCACAAAACAUAAUUAUACUUUAUAAAUCAUUUAAUGAGUGAUAUUGUACACUCUUUAACGACAAAAUAGUAAUAUAUAAAAAAUUCUAAGCAAUACCUUUGAUCCAAAACUAAAAUGUGCUAAAAAAUUUAAGCAUUUAAUUCUUUUUAAUUACUGCAAAAAAUGAUAUUCCCAAUCAACCCCCCCUCCCACCCAAUGAAUCCCUAACUUUUUAGGAAGCUUUUGUUAAUAAGCAUUGUCUUCUCACUAGAAAUGGCAAUUUGGCUUGCUAGCUUAGGCCGCUCGUGACUCGGUUUGUAAAAAAAUCCAAACAUGCCCGAGCCUCAUUUUAAGGCAUCGGCCCAAGCCCUAGCUUGAGCCCAAGCCCGACUUGACUGGGGAAAAAAAUGGGGCAAAUUGCCAGUUAAACAAUUGAGCCGACACCGCACAGCUCGAUUUGUCGAACUUUUGCUCGGCUCGAACCAAAAAAAGACCAAAUUAAUUUUACUCGAGCCAAGUCCGAGCCUUAGGUUUCGACUUCGUGCCUGCUCGACUUUGCUCGUUGACAUCCCUACUUCUCACCAUCCUGAGUUGGGUGUUUACUCCAUAAACUCUUUUGGGGAAGCAAAUUUUUUAACAGAUGAAAUCAAUUUUGCAGAGUUUGGUCUAGGGGCAACCCAGCCUUGGUCUAAGUAGGACUUGGAAUAUCUAUUCUCGCAAAAUCAUACAAUGUACUCUCCAGAGACCGCACAAGUAUUUUCAAAGAUGGAAUAUCUAUUCCAGCAAAAUCAUACAAUGUACUCUUUCUUUAGUUCUAUCCAAGAACCCCUUUCUAUGUAAAGAAAAUUACAGUCUUUUUCAUUGAAUUAGUAUUUAAAUAGUAAAACCCUCCGUAGCUGCUCCUCUCUCAUUUUCUUUGAUCUCGUGAAAUAGCGCUAAGUACACCAAUCACAAUUAAAACUACAACAAUACAUCAAAUUCUAACCUAAAUACAUAUUUAUUUUUUUCAUUAUAUAUUUUCCUCAAAAGGCAUCAGAUCAAGAGUGUAUUAGUGUAAAUUAGUUGGAAAAUAAAAUUAUAAACUACAUAAAAAAUUGUUCAGUUAUGGUCUUUGAAUUAUUAUAAAUACACAAGGACAUCUUUCCCAAAAAUUCAACAAGAGAAUCGAUUAGUUUUACUAAAGAACACACACAACCAAUUACUUGUAUACAAGCUAAUUAGACAGUAGCAUACACAUAGUAAGUAGAGAGCCUUACCUGAUUAAAAUGGUGACGUGUUUUAGUUUCUGCUGAUGAACAAAAAAACAACACCCAAAGGGAAGUUAAUAUCUUCAACAGCUUGUGCAUAUGGAAUCUAAAGGCUUAUCUCCCAUGGCUUUUAAAACCCUUUCUAUUGUCCCUAUCCAUCAACUUGGUCUGCUAACUUCUUAUUUCUUAUUUUUCCAUUUCAAUAAAUCUCUCUCUUCAAAUGCCAUGAUGCUAUUUUUCCAUAAAAGAUCUCACAUAAUAAUAAUAAUAAUAAUAAUAAUAAUAAUAAUAAUAAGAAGAAGAAGAAGAAGAAGAAGAAGAAGAAGAAGAAGUGUCAGAGAAACUGAAUAAAAACACGAUAAUUGACAAGGUUAAAACAAACAAUAAGUAGGUUAUUUCUAAACCAUAGGACACCAAGUAGGAAUACAAAAUACGGGUGGUAAAGUGCAAUGUAAUAUGUUAUUUGGGUAAUUGACACAAAACGUCCCUACCUUGAAGGUUUAUUGUGGAAAACAUCUCCACCUUUCAUUUUUUGGCAUUUUUGCCCUUAUUUCCACAUUUCUUUGCGGAAAACGUCAUUUUCAUCAUUUUUUAAUAUAAAAUGACCAAAAUACCCUCCCAUUUAUAUAAAACCUAAAAAAUAAAAAUAAAUAAAGAAUAAAUUACAAUCUUACUCCUAAAUGUUUUAAAAAGUGCAAGUAAGUCUAAAUAAUUAUUAAAAGGCUUAAUAGCACAAAACGUCCCUAGAUUUGGUCUAUAAUGUGAAAAAGUCCCUACGUUUCAUAUUGGUGAAAGGGACGUAUUUUGCAAUGAAAAGUGAAAAUAGGGAUGAAAAUGUUAAAAAAAAUUGAAAUGUAAGGACAUUUUUCGCCAGAAGUGUCAAACGUAGGGAUUUUUUUUUUUUUUUUGCUAUUGGGCCUUACUAAAAUAUUAGAAGUAACAAAAACUCUCUCUCUCUCUCUCUCUCUCUCUCUCUCUCUCUCUCUCUCCCUCCCUCUCUCCUUCACUCUCUUCCUUUCUUCUCCAAAUGGGCCAACCACUUUAGAAGCCAAAAAAACUCGAGCAAACCACCAUCCAAACUGCUAGACUAUCAUACCACCGAAAAGCCCUUACUUCCUUCUAUACAUACCACCUAACAUCCAAUUUUGAAACUUUCAUGUCAAUAGAUUUAUUAGGAAUUGCAAGCCAAAAUAUCCAACUCUUGAAUAUAAAUACUGGCGGCAUCACCUAUUUCGGAGAGACCCAUGUCAUUUCCAACACACCAAUAUAUUCACUAGGAUAUCUCUAUUCAUGGUCUUUAAAUACCAACAGAUGGUUCAGUGGUAUGGAGGUUCGACGGUUUGGGUGAUGGUUAGUCGAAAUUUUUUCACUUUUAAUGUGACAGUCCCAUUUAGAGAAGAGAAGAGACAGAUAGUUUUUUUUAAUACGCGAAUGCAAAUACUAGCGGCAUCACCUGUUUCGGAGAUAUCCACGGCAUUUUCAACACAUCAAUCGACUAUACUCACUAGGGCGCCUCUCUUCAUGGUCUUAAAAUGUCAAUAGAUAGUUUAGCGGUAUGAAGGUUCGAUGGUUUGGGCGAUUGUUAGUCGAGAUUUUUUUCAUUUCUAACGUGGCAGUCCAAUUUAGAGAAGAAGAGAAGAGAAAUAUUUUUUUAAAUAUUUUAAUAAGGCCUAAUAGCAAAAAAAUCCCUAUGUUUGACACUUCUUGUGGAAAAUGUCCUUACAUUUAAUUUUUUUUUUUUUGCGUUUUAUCUCUAUUUUCACUUUUUAUUGCGGAAAACGUCCCUUUCACCAAUUUGAAACGUAGGGACGUUUUUCACACUAUAGACCAAACCUAGAGACGUUUUGUGCUAUUAGGUUUUUUAAUAAUUAUUUGGACUUGCACUUUUUAAAACAUUUAGGAGUAAAAUUGUAAUUUAUUCUUUAUUUUUCUUUUCUUUUUUUUGGGUUAUAUUUAAAUGGGAGGGCAUUUUAGUCAUUUUACAUUAAAAAUGGUGAAAAUGACAUUUUCGGCAAAGAAAUGUAGAAAUAAGAGCAAAAAUGCCAAAAAAUGAAAGAUAUAGACGUUUUCCACAAUAAACUUUAUAGGUAGGGACGUUUUGUGCCAAUUACCCUAUGUUAUUUACAUCUAAUAGUACACAAUAGUUGAUGAAAUAGAAUAUUACUUGCAUACUAUGUUGGAAUUUUGUUGAAAAUUUUGUAUUAUUUGGUGAAUGAAAAUUUAAGCCAAAUUUAAAUCACUUAAAUACGUGAAUUAUUGGAAAAAUGUGUAGAAUAUUAUGAAAUAUUCUAGAAAUUAUUUGGCUGAAAAUGUGUCUUUCUAUAUAAAAGAUUAUGACUUUUGGCAUUAUCAUUUUUUAAGAGACGUGUCUCUUCAAAUAUAGAGACUAAUUCUAAUAGUUGUGUCUCUUCCAUAGGAUGUGUCUUUUAAGACAAACCUUUUUAACAUCCAUAUAUUGACCCCAUAUGUUUGGGUUUAAUCAUUCAGGAAUUCAAUUCAUUUCAUAACUCCAUAUUAUUCAUUUCAUGUCAAGUUACUUAAAAUACUUUAUAGAAAUGAUUAUAUCUUGCAUCAAAGUCAUGUUUAUGGUAGAGAGGGAAUUUCAUUCGAGUUUGCUGGUCAAAGUAAUUUGGAGUGCUCCUAUGGCUUGACGUAGUCGUUUUAUCUUGGGAGAUGAUUGCUGGAAACCCGUUAGCGCCGAUGCGGGGUAAAUUCAUCUUAAGGACCAAGUGUCAAACACUUGUCUCGACCAAAAAAUAAAAAAAUUCAUCACUCGCAUCUUUCUUCCUUCAUUUUCUGAUUUUUCUUAAUUAUGGUUUGAUUUCAGAAACUGAUUAACAUUAUUUACAUGUUUGUUCUGCGAUAUUUGAUUCAAAGAAUAACUUGCUUUUGUUCAAGAAUCGAAGGAGAUGAAUCCAUAUUCAUGUAUUCGGAUUCGGUAACUAUUAUUGUUUUGCUUCUCAAAUUCUAUUUCGGUAAAUCGAAAUUACGUUUCAAUUUCACGCAAAUAAACGGUAUGUUUUUGUGAAUAUAAUAUGCACAUAAUCGGUGUAUUCCCCAACAAUUUUAAGAUGAAAUUUGUUUUCGUGGAUUUAUAGUUUUCAUUAUUCUGUUUGCAUGAACAAAGUAUUAAAUGGAUUGGAUGAUAAAAUAUGAUUGCAUAAACUCGACGCCGAUUUAUGUUUUAUGCUUGGUGGGGUUCUAUGCAACUCUUAAAAUAAAAAAUAAAAAAAAAUGAACCAUUGCAUACAUGACUACAUGAGAAACUAUUAUGUUAUUAUAUGAAUUGUGUCUUAAGUGUCCAUGACAUCCAUUUGUUUAGUAUAUAAUGAAAGUGAAGUAUUAUAUAUUGCACAUGUUUGCAAUUGUUAAUCAAUAUAUAUUGCUGUCAAUAUGUGUCUUUCCAUAAAUUAGUCAAGGACCAUGAAGUUGGUUUAUUUUGAAAAAGUGCAUGUGGUUUUUAAGACAAUUUAUUAAAUGAUGACUCUUCAUUUUCUAAAUGCUUUUUUCAAAUCCAAUUUUGUAAUCUAUAAUGAACUUGAUUAUCCUAUCAAAUUAUAUGACAUGUAUAUUUAUUUAAACGAGAUCUAUAUAUGUUGGUCAUUGGUACAACUCCAAUGUUAUUGGAAUAGAUGCCAACUAAUUGUGAAAGUAUAUGAACUUUCAUGACUAUUCCUUUUAUUGGAAUAUGAAAUAUGACAUAGUAAAUUAAUUGGUUAAAUUUUCAUAUCUUGUUGAAAUUAUACUAACUUUGAUUAAUAUUGAUAGCCUCAUUUAAUCCUAUGGGAUUAAGUGAGAUGAAUUUUAUGCAAGUUAUAUUUGCAUAAAGUAUGACAAAUUGUUAUUUGCUCUAGUGAAAAUUGUUGCAAAAAUAUUAUGAUAUAAAAAUACUUUGUAGAACACAAACUGUGCCUAAAGUUGGCAAUGAUGCUGAACUUCCUUUAAAUCUAGAAAAAUUUUAUUGUGAUGAUUUAGUUAAACAUCUGACUUCAAUAAAAUUAAAUGGGAUGAUUUGUGCAAAAUUAUAUUUGCAUAAGAAUAUGACAAAAUGUAAUUUGUCUUAAUUUGAUUACUUGGAAUUGGUGGAAAAUUAUGUAGAAUAUUAUGAAAUAUUUUAGGAUCAAUUUAGAUGAAAAGGUGCGUCCUUUCAUAUGAAAAAUCAUGACUUAUGAUAUAAUUAUUUUCCAAUGGGUAUGUCUCUUCAUAGAGAUUAUUCCAAGAAGUGUGUCCUUUUAUAGGAUUGUGUCUUUUGAGAACACAACUUUUCAACCGAUAGUUGAAAUGAAACUAUCAUGUGAAAUGUCACAAAUAUGAUAAGUUGCAUAUGUUUGAAGAAGUUGCAAUGCUUAGCCCUCUUUAUCGUUGAAUUUGGCUUCAAUUAUGAAACCAAAUAAGUUGGUAUAUGUUUUGAAAGCAUUGUUGGUCCAUGUAAUGGCCUUGAUUUAAUUUGAAUGAUCAAAUUAAAAUAAUUGAAUUGAAGUACGUUAUAUGCAACUUUAAUUGAAAUAAAUUGUGAGUCAACGACCACUAUUUUGAAAGUACUUGAAUUUCCAUGAAGCACUCGACAUAGAUAUUAUCUAAGAGAUAAAUUAAUAGAACUAUAAAAAAGUUACUGAAUCCUAAGUUCAAUUGUAACCCAUAGAUGUGAGGGGCUAUCAUAAAUACUCAUGAAAUUGAGUGAAAAUUUCAAAACUUGUGGAUGCAAUGUUACUAGAUUGUAUUUGCAUUCCUAAUUGAGAAACUGUGAGGGUAAAUUAGCUUAACAGUUACAUUUGCUUUUAUCUUAUAAUCAUAGAAAGAUAUCUAUGAAGGUGAAAAGAUAGAAAACCCUUAUACUAAUUAUAAGGAUGGUAUACACUAAGUCUAAAGUAGAUGAAAUGGGUUGUAAAGCCGAUUUUGGCAUUUGUUUAGACAUGCAAGAACGAUUGAAAUAUAUGAAAAAUAUUCAUAAAGUUCAAACGCAUGGUAAUGUUUCAAUGAUGAUAUUGAACUGCCAUGAUUCUGAAAUUCACUAGUAAAAGUGAUUGACUAGUGUAGUGUUUGAUAAAAAUUCCCCAAUCGUAUUUGGAAAUUGAUAAAGCUAAUGAGGCAUAUAACUUCAUGAGAGGAUUUCUUGACGGCGACAAUUUGUAUCUAUCAAAUAAAUCGAUCGUUGGCUAGCUAUAUUUGAUAAGAUACUAAGUCACAUAUAACAAUAGGUCUAGACGUAUAAGUCAUAGACAUAAUACCAUUAAGCAAAUUAUCUCAAUAGUGUAAACUCGUGGUACCUUUAAGACAUUUAUCGAGAAAUUAAGUAUACUGCAUAUCGAAUGGAAUGAGAUUGAAGCCUACUACGAUAGAGUUCUUAUAAUGGUAACCCUACCUUACUGAUUGGAGAUCCUAAGAUCUUGGUUCAAAGGGACAACUAAGUUAUGAGGAUUCCAUGAAGAACUAAGGAAAAUAACUCUCUAACUCAUUCCUAUGAUAAUAAAGUACUUUCUGCAGAGUUGCAAGAGGUUAAGAUAAUCUUUUAAUUAUUCCUAUAUCCUGAUUAAAUCUAAUGGCGUAGGGCAAAAUACUCUUAAUAGGGGUCACCUAUAUGAGUGUGAAGUGGGGCCGCUUCAAUGAGAAUUAUUUAAGGUUUAAAUUCUCUAAACACUCGCGAAGCCAAGAAGGGUUCUGGGCUAAAAUGAAUCAAGUCAUGAGAACCAUGAACGAUUUAGGGAAGACAUUAUGUGAGUAUCAUUGUCUUGGCUUACACUAAACACUAAAUAAUUUAAGACAUCACGUUCUCCAAUUAGUCGAGUAAGUACGAUGAUAUUUCACUUAGGGAGGUUCAAGAUCAGAAGCUACCAUCCCUGAUGCAGAGUUUUUUCGCUCUCUCUACUAGUGUCUGCAUAGAUAUUUGCAUUAAUUUUUAUUCAUGUGGGGGAUUGUUGGAAUUUUGCUGGAAAUUUUGUAUUAUUUGGUGAAUGGAAAAUUAAGCCAAAUUUAAAUCACUUAAAUACUUGAACUAUUGAAAUAUGUAUAGAAUAUUAUGGAAUAUUCUAGAAAUUAUUUGGCUGAAAAUGUGUCUUUCUACAUAAAAGAUCAUGACUUUUGACAUUAUCAUUUUUCAAGAGACGUGUCUUUUUAAAUAUAGAGAUUAAUUCCAAUGGUUGUGUCUCUUCCAUAGGUUGGGUCUUUUAAGACAAACCUUUUCAACAUCUAUAUGUUGACCCCAUAUGUUUGGAUUUAAUCAUUCAGGAAUUCAAUUCAUUCCAUAAUUCCAUAUUUUCAUUUCAUGUCAAAUUACUUAAAAUAAAUUGUAGAAAUGAUUAUGUAUUGCAUCAAAGUCAUGUUUAUGGUAGAGAGGGAAUCACGUUCUAGUUUGCUGGUCGAAGUAAUUUGGAGUGCUCAUAUGGCUUGACGUGGUCGUUUUAUCUUGGGAGAUGAUUGUUGGAAAACUGUUAGCACCGAUGCGGGGCAAAUUCAUUUUAAGGACCAAGUGUCAAACACUUGCCUCGACCAAAAAAGAAAAAAUAAAAAAAUUCAUCACUUGCAUCUUUCUUCCAUCAUUUUCUGAUUUUUCUUAAUUAUGGUUUGAUUUCAAAAACUGAUUAACAUUAUUUACAUAUUUGUUCUGCGAGGUUUGAUUCAAAUAAUAACUUGCUUUUGUUCAAGAACCGAAGGAGAUGAAUCCAUAUUCAUGCAUUCGAAUUCGGUAACUAUUAUUGUUUUGCUUCUCAAAUUCUAUUUCGAUAAGUCGAAAUUACGUUUCAAUUUCACGUAAAUAAACGAAAUGCUUUUGUGAAUAUAAUAUGCGGAUAAUCGAUAUAUUCCCCAACAUACUAAUCCUAACAGUUAAUGUUCGGCGUGAAAGUGUAAACUACAAGUGCACAAGUCGCAUUCAAGUAAUAAAAAGGACAUUUUAAAUUCGAGUUGUCAAUACUUCAAAGAAUGUUUACUUUUAAUUACACAACUUUAAUCAAUUUAAUUUUACCAGUAAAAAAACACACAAUAAAGCCCUUGUUUGAGCUCUAUUUUUUUCAAAUUAUAAUGAAAUGAAUAGUAAUUUUUUGAAUAAUGUGUGGUUAAAAAGAAAGUAAAUUUUUUUAGGUUUAGAUGUAUUAUUAUUUUGUUGAAAAAUGUUUGAUUGAUAAAAAGAGAAAGAAAAAUGAAUUUUAAUUUAAUAGAGGCCAAAUAGGGACAAAGAUUUAUUUUUGAAAAAUAAGGAAAAUUAAAUAAAAUCAACAAAAAUAAGAAAACAUAAAUACAUGUAAAUUUUGGAGGAAAAUGUUAUUAGAAUUCAUGAUUUCGCUUAACCUCAUCUAAUUAAUUUCUCCACGAGCCAUUUAAUAAAUUACUCGUUUACGACGUCAAACUCAAUUUUUCAAUUUUAGUUAAUUAUCUCUUUUGAACAAAAUUAGCCCCUAAUUGAUUAGUUUAAUCUAUUAUAUCUCUAUGCCAAUUAAAACUAAACAAUCGCAUUAAUUAUUUGUGAAAAUAGCUUAAAGGGCCACCUAAAGUUAAAGGUAUAUUUAUAUCCUCUACACAAACCUCUAGUUUUUACCAUUUAAUCUAAAAUGUACAAUCUUCUCCAGAACGUAUACAAAUCACUAAACAUAAUCAUUCAUUGACUACAUAAAUUAAAGUGCAACAAAUACAAUAAUGGAAACACAUAAAAAUAAGUAUUUGAACAUUAUAGGGAAAAUAUAGAAUCUCAAGAUUCUUAUUCAUCCACUUGAAAUUUUCAAGUUCAACCAAGCUAUUUUGUUUCCCGAGCCUCUAGUGAGUUACAGACAGAGUUCAAAAAGGUCAAAUCUUUGAUGAUUCCAUCAUCUAUGAUUAAGUUGCAGCAGAAGAUCCUGAAUUUGAAACUUUCUACACCAAAAAUAUUAUAUUAAACGAAGGUAUUCGUGCUUGGAUGGCAGCUAAAGAAAAAAUAUAGGCUAGGCGUAAGCGUAAAUCGAUAUGCUGAAAUAAAAAAUACGAAGCACCGAUGAUAUAGAAAUAGUGAAUCCUAAUGUAAAUAGAGUUUAGGUUCGAAUUCGAUAUUCUUCCAAUAUCAAUUUCGGUUGAUAGUGGUUUUUUAUCAAAUCGAUCUAUUUUCUGUUCAAUUUUUUGGUAAUCAGUAUCAGGAAGAAGGCUAUGUUAAAUUUUAAGCAUAAAUCCCAACACAAAUAUUUAGCACAUGUUAAACGAUUGAUAAAAAGGAGAAUCUAUAUAACAAUACAUUACAAGUUAGACAAAAUAAUCGAGAAAAUUCAAGAUUAUAGACAAAAUCUUUUUUGAAACUUGGUCUUGACUUUACCUAAAUAUUUCUCCUCCUUCCUUGGAUGUAUUCUCCACGUGCUUUGAGUUUUAUCCCACAAUAUUAAGAAAAAUUAAAGGAAGAAGAAAGAAAAGAAGAUGAAAGAAGAAGAAUUAGAAUGGAAAAAUCCUAUUUUAGCUCCUAGUUUUAAUAUUUCAAAUAGGUAUUUUCAAAAAUGUCUAAUUUCAUGGGUGUCAAUUGAAAAAUGUCGACUUUUUAAAUUUAGCACUAAAUUGUUUAUUAAGCCCUUUAUGAAAACAGAAGCAAUUUAUUUAUUUUUUCAAUUUGUUGCGGAUUUCGAAAAGUAGUUUUCAUGAGAAGCUACAUUAAAAUGAAAUUCUCGACAUUUCAAAUGUCAUUCUCGAUAUUUGAAUUCCGUUUAUAUUUUAAAAGUACACAUGUCAAAUCACAAUAUUAAAUGUUCUUGGCAUUCUAAAUCUCUAGAAUGACAUUUCAUUCUGAACAUGACAAUUCUCAACACUUAAAAUGUAAUUUUCGACAUUUUUGUGUCAAUGAGAAAAAUAGCAUUAAUUGUGAUUGGACAUGUGCACUAUUAAAAUAAAUAUGGUAGAUUAUGUGUCCAAAAUUUAUUGGCCAAUAAAAUUUUUACAAAAAUGUCCAUUUCUUGUUUUUGUGUGGAAUCAUAAAUUGUUCACAGGGGUAUGUUGGUCCAAAAUAUUCCAAAAUGGACAUUUUUGCAAGAAUUUGUGAAAGUGGACAUUUUUGCAAAUGAACAUGUGAAAGUGGACAUUUCAAGCAAUUUCCUCUAUUUCAAAUUCAAACCUAGAAAAUUUGAAACCAAGUCCUUGAAGUUUUGAAAAGAAAUAAAAAGGUCUCCAUUUUUAUUUUUUAUUUUUUUAAAUGGCGCCUAAACGCCAACUCUCAUCCAAAUGGUUUCAUUUAUUAUUAUUUUUUUCUUUUUCUUUUGCACACAAGUCCUCUAUAAAUUUGCGCUCAAUGUUCUCAACUUUAAUCUUGUACAAUUUGGUCAUUGAAUUUUGACUUUCAUUUCAAUCAUACCUCCAAAAUUUCAACCCAAGGUUCAUCAACUUUCUCCCAUUGUGCAAUUUGGUCACCAACUCCAUGUUUUUGUACGCUUUUGAUCAAUUUUCUCUCCCUUUUGCCUUGUUCUCUUUCUGUUUGGCGUUUAUGACCAACAAAAAUCAAAAUUAGCCAAUUGUAAAUAGAAAAUCACUCAACUUAAUCAAUAAUUAGCUUGUUAAAAUAUUUAAUAAUUGUACAAAAAUGCACCUAUCAAAUACUUCCAAACUUAUGUUCUUGCUCAUCCCAAGCAAGAUUAUCUACAACAUAAAUCAAGCAAACGUGAUAAUAAUUAACACAUUAGAUAGCUUGCCAAAAAUAUCGAAGAGUGUAAAAUUGUAUAGUCAAUUCACAAAUAUGCUCCAAAUAAUGCAAGCAAAAAUAAUUUAAUCUUAUCCAAUAUUUGAUCGGUGUGUGCGCUCGUACAAAGUCACUUUCAAUCAUCAUCUAAAUUAAGAAAAAGUUGUCAAGACAGAAGAAAUUUCAAAUUAGCACAAACCCGACCUUUAGUGGUCAAAUAUUUCCUUUCUACUCGUGAAAUUCACACACUCAAAUAGGUAAUCCUUUUUUUUUGGCCCCCGGGUGUAAAUCUAAAGGCUUCUAUCAAAUCACCCAUUUCAUUUCCCGCUCUUGUUCGGCUGGGCCUGACUAGCAAUCUCAACAUCUAGACAUGUAAUGAUUCCACACUAAUGAGUGCUUCAACAUUCAAGUUUAUACUAAGUAAUUCAAAGGCACUACUUAUAAAAGCCCAAUUAUCAAAUAUAAUUGCACAAUAAUAAUUUUUUUUCCCUUCUUUCAAUUAAAUCUCAUAUUUUACCUUACUCCCCUUGAACUUUCUUUUUAUUACACUACAUUUCAUUCCUGUUAUCUUCUAGUAAACUCUCAGUGAUUGAUCUGGGCUAAUACUUCCUGGGUUACAGAUUCCCAGGGCUUACAGUAGAGCAACAACAACAGCUAAUCUACAGGAAAUUACUCAGCAGCUUCAGGGUUCUAACAUUGAUCUACAGACAGAAAAUUCUCAAACGAUUCAAAUUUCACAAACUAAAUUACCAAAUAUACACAAAGACAGACGUAUGUCUUCUAGAUAGAUUUAUACAUAUCCGUGUGCACUAUCUGUUGCAAUCAUGGGCUCUUCUGCCUCCCCUUUCUCAAAUCCCAUUUCAUAUUUUUCAUCAUAUUGAGUUUAUGCUAAAAAGGGAUCAUCAAUUGAAUUGUCCAAGAUAACAAAACACAAAAAAGAAUGGUGCAGGUAAUGUUGAUAACAAAAACAUGACAGGCUAAAAAAUCUAAAUUUUUAUGUAUACUCCACUCAAUUUUUCAGUAUGAAGAAUUAUGACAUGUUAUUGCCUAAUAUUUACGUUUCUUCCACUCAAUUAUACAAUCUGGUGGACAAGUUUAAACAGUUUAUUAGUUUAUUAUCCUCAACUAUUCAAUUAACUAAAAUUCCCAUUACAGCAAAUAGGAAGAAAAGAUAACAUUCAAAAAGCCAGCUAACGCAAAUGUUCAAUUUUAUUUUCCUUAAAUCCUGAAGAGUAUAACAUAGCGAAGAGUUAUAAAAUUGUGUUAAUUAAAUGAUAAAGAGGGAAUGUUACUUGACAUACACCAUGUGAAAAGCGAGCCAUCGAAGGCGGCGGCAGUAGUGUGCUCACAUCCACAAGCAAUAUGAAGCCACUAGAAUUUAUGUCGGCGGGACAACAGAUUGCGCUCUUCGUGGGGACAUUUCCCCGUUGUGAAUCCCCAAAUAGCUCAUUGAUCUCCAUAUUUCUUUACUACUUAUUAUCAAUUCCGCACAUCCUAGAAGAAAUCAUAAAACCAAUGUAGAAAAUGGAUAACUAACUAUGACUGAAAUCAAUUUGGGGAAUGGGAAAUGAGAAAUUAGUAAAGUCAAUUGUCACCUACGGAAGAAUUGAGCCACGAACAGUUAAAUCGAGAUGGGUCUUAGACGGAAAGUUGGAAACUGAGUUUUUAUUUUUUUAUUUUUUUUGGCAUUCAUUACCUUAGUUCUUCGAUCUCC